Long non-coding RNA from Hemibagrus wyckioides, 3402 nucleotides. RefSeq lists it as uncharacterized. The record is from RefSeq and is a predicted model, not a curated record. The transcript is spliced from 4 exons. NCBI's taxonomy places the organism in Eukaryota, Metazoa, Chordata, Actinopteri, Siluriformes, Bagridae.
GGGCACCCAUUGUCCUUAUUUGCAUUUGGCAGACACUCUUUUCCAACAAGACUCUUCACAUUUAUGAGCUACCACUGAGCGCUUCAGGAAAGUUAAGGGUUCUGGGAUUUGAACUCAUCACCUCUUAAUCAUAAGGCCACGCACAGGUCUUAACCACUAAGCUCCCACCUUCCUUAUUUGUUUGGAAGCUUAUUUGUUGCCUUCUGCCACCGGUCAUCAUAAUCAUGUAAUGCCUUGAAAAUAAUCGACUAGAGGUAUUCAUCAAGAUGUCUGUUAGAUUUACGAAACAUCUGACACAGCUGGGCCUUGGAGGCAGAGGAGAUAUUAUUGACAGGAAGCUCAGACAGUCCAACAGAAACCUGAUUCCUGAAUAUGUUUUGCGCCAUUCUGUCUUCAUGGUGAGGACAACUGUUUGCUGUUCCAGUUCUGCUUCCCGGCCCAGUAUGCCCAUUAAUCAACCCAGUGUUAAGUCAUGAAGUCUCAACUACUUGAUCCAACACCUUAAACCCAGCGACUGAGUUAUAAUAACUCAAACUUACAGACAGGUAUCUACCAUUAAAUCUCUUAUUGUGAACAUUUAACCAGUUUGAAUAUGAAACUAGGUUUUUUAAAAAUAUAUUUAUAUUAUAUGUGAAAUAAAUACAUAUACAGGGAGCUUGGGAUAUUAUUUUGCUGUUAAAAGUAACUGAGUAUCCCUGGCAACUGAGUGUCCGAGUCUCCGGGUCUUACUGGCCAAAUACAGAAAGCCUUUGCACCUGUUACACUCUCUGUAAAAACUCUGGAGUAUUCUACUGGUCAGUAUGAGCUGUACGGAGAAUCACAUCGUAUGUUAUUUAACACACAGUCAUUUGGCCUAUGAGUGAAAACAGCGAGUGGUUCUUGCACAGACCUUCCCAAAGCAUUUCUUUCACAUUUCAGUCUGGCAACAAUUACCCUCGGUGAUGAAACAAAAGCUCGAGCCAAGAUCGCCAGACGCACACAUGCUGGCCAUUCCCACAGGCCAGCAAGAGAAAGUUUCUCUGGAGCCUACGCAGUCUUAGGAUCGCAUUGACACAAAGAUUUACACCAAGUGAUAAUUUUCAAACUGUAAUGGGUGUGGCUAGCCCUUUUUUUAUUUUAUGACAUCAUUCAUAUAAAAUUCGACAAAAUGAAAUGCUUGUUGUUUGUAAUGGCUUUAUACUAAUCCUAAUUUAUUGCUUUUUUUUAAAAAAUAUUCUAUAUUCUAUAACUUUUCCAUGAAGAUAUCAGUAUGGAAUUAUUCUUCUAUCCUCUUGUACAGCAUUACAUUCUAGAAUUCACAGUUUCAACUGCCAAAAAAAACACUAUUUUUGUUUGUUUUCUGUGCUUUCAUGAGCUUUUGUCUUUACAUUACAAACCUAUUUCAGAUACCUCUACACCCUAUACAUCAUAAACGUUCAUUUCUCCCUAUCAGAAUCCUCUACUCAGCAUUAAAUAUAACACUAAUUGCAGUCAUUAUUUCAAUUAUAUAAUACAAUACAAGUUUUCCAGACACCUUUUGCUUUUGUUUUGAAGUUGUAAAACUCCGGAGCUUGUUCCGCGUUGGGUGACGUAUUUAAGGCGCUCGGAUUAUUGGCAGAAAAAGGGCAGGUGAAAACUGCACCUAAGUAAAUUUGCAUCUUACAGGUAGUACUGUUUAUGACUACAGAACAAAAGACGUAACUGCUUUUUAAAGCCUUGUUAAUGCUAAGAAUAUUUGAGCUGCUUGCCGCUCUGUAAUUAGCAUAGUUUCUUCAUUAAGUGUAACCUGAAUACUCUAUCUAUCUAGCUAUCUAUCUAUCUAUCGAUCUAUCUAUCUAUCUAUCGAACUCUCUAAUGCUGUGGAUGAACCCAUAACAAUGCAUUCACGUUCAGGCGCCCUAGAUCUCUAGUACCCUAGAUAGAAGACUGCAGCUAGCUCUAGCACUCGAGGCCAUAUUAGUCAAGCUCGUCAUACUGAGAGCACCUACCUUCAUCUUCCAGCCUACUUUCUGUCCGCAUGCCAAAACAUGAGUGAAAGAUUGCAAAUCCUGUUGUAAACACUGUGGUUUUCUUGUAAUAGUAAAUGUAAAGACGGCAAAAGAAAGCAGCAACUUUGUAAAUGUAAGGAAUUCCGUUUUAUUUGUUUAUUAUUCAUUUAACAAUGGACAUUGUCUCAAGGCAGCUUUAGAGAACAUGAGAAAUAUGGAAGUUCAAGAUUCGUAUUAGACUUAUAUUUCAAUUUAGUUGUAUUUAUCCCUAGUGAGCAAGCCUGAGGUGACGGUGGUAAAGAAAAACCCCAUUAGAUGGAGGAGGAAGAAACUUUGAGAGGUGAGAAUGUGCCAAACAGAAACAAAGUGCACCAGUAACCUGUUCUGCCUUCGCACUGGGAGGUUUCAACCAAACCCAUGCACGAUGGAGUGAGGGAGUGAUAGUGUGCUGGGAAGGAAUGACCCAUGACAUGCUGCUGAAAUGAGCUCAUAAAGCAGAGCUCACACUUUCUUGGUCUUUUCUCAGUUUACACACACCCUCACUCACCCACUUUUGUACACACAUACGUUCAGGAGCAGACGCCAGCAAGUCUAGGCGCUGAUCAGCGGUAUUGUUAUUAACAGUCUCCCUUGCAUGUAUUAAGGCACGGUGAGGACACAUCCCAGCCUUAUGACCUCAGGGUGCCGCUUUGUUCUUUCCAUAACACAAAAGUAAUUACAGCAUCUACCUUUCCUUUUUUCACCCUGUCCCUUCUGCCCCACACCUCGGACUGCACCCCACUAUGUUAUGAUUGCUAUGUACAGGGAUCUACCCUGGAAAAAUACCUGAGAAUCUUUUCAAAUUUGCAUAUCCGACUUUGCUUUGAUGUUUUGUUUUUUGGCACCAUAAAACUGUUGAUAAUAUAGCACAUGAUUUACAAACUGAAAUAGAAACAUCUUCCCUUGCAUUCAUUGCAUGGAAAUUCUUGUUGUUGUUGUUAUUAUUAUUAUUAUCUGGAAAUUUGAUUCCCUUUUAAUUUUUUAUCUUGAAAAGAAGCAGAAGAGUCAAAUAAUAACUCUCAGUUGUAAUCUGUUUUGUUUUGAUUUAUGGAAUAAUUUGUUUCUGUCAUGAAUGAUGACUUGUCUGGUAUUGUCUGAGUGUCUUUAUUGACAGGGAAAUGUUCUGCAUCCUGUGUUAAUGUGCUGCAGAAACAUCUUAUAUGGACAGAGCUAAAGAGAUCAUGUGGAGGAUUUCUAUUCUAGAGAUUUGGUGCUUCAUCCUGAACAUGAAGUUUUGUUAUAUAAUUGAUAAGACCGCAUACCACUGCUUACACUGAGAAAGCAGCACUCAAUGACAGCUCUACAGUUAGGAGGAGAGCCUUCUGGUGAAACAUUUCAGAAGGAAAGUUUAAAGACACUGUUCAAUAAAACUAGUCUGUCAUUUUAUUAAUAAAGC